CAGUAACUGCAAAGUCUUGUAAAGACGACCACACAAGGGACAGCAAUGUUGUUUUUCAUUUUGACCAACAUGGAUGUGCGCUUGGUGUGCAUGUAGGGAAUUCGCUUGGCUGAAUCUAGAUGAUCAGUCAGAACAAUCAAUGGGUUUGGCACCUGAAUGUGUUCUCAGGUGGCGAUUCAAGUUUGAGGAAUGAGAGAAAUGUCGUCCGCAAACAGGACAGAGAAAACUAUGCAAACCAAAAUGUCUAGAAAUAUGAGUUUUAAGUUCAGAUUUUUUGUCAUAGGCUUUUGCGCGAAUGACCCAGCUCAACCCGGUUUGCUCUAAACUUUCCCCUGACGUUAUCAUAGCAUUCAAUGCUGCUAAUUUAACCUCAUAAGGGACAGGCUGUAAAAGGCCAAUAUCAGUCUUUUGCAUUGCUAGUUGAAGUGUAGUCCCUUAAAAAAAUUUUAAUGAUGCAAUUAAUUUUUUCCUUUAGCACAGAAAGAGCUUAAUUGGAUUACCAUUUCUACAUCUCUUGUCAAUUUGAUCUGGUAGAGGGGAAAUUAUGACACCUUGUGAAUCAGGCAGCGUUACUUGAUUGGUCAACACUGAAUUAUCAUACAGCUCACUACUACUGGGCUUCAACUCACAUUCAUGUUCCAUGUUGACUUCGAGGCUUAUUUUGUGCUUCGAAACGAUCGUGUGUGUUUCAUCAUUUGUGACAAAGAAAAAUUUACCGCAUUCGGAUUUCUUGAUCUCAGAAUUACACCAAGAGUUGUCUGAUGUUAGUGGCAAAGGAACAUUCCGAAGGAUUGUAUCAACACUAUAUCAAUCUUCAGGAAAAGAAUCCAAUCUACUGGAUUCAUAUGGAUCCAUGAUAAAUUAGUUCUUUCAUAACAACACACAACUCUUUCUUUUCGUUUCUUUCUUUUGAUUGAUUGAUUUAAGGCGCCUCCGAUGAAGACACCACACAUCUGUUUGUUUAUAACGUGAUCAGAGGAUAACGAAAAGUCUCGUCUGCUAUACUUGUGGGUGUGGCACAAAAAAAAAAAAAAAACAAGACUGGCGAAAACUCGCAGGAUUACAGCGACAGUCUUCUAUCUUGCCAGCACAGGGCGUAAGUCGUUUUUGAACGAAACAUGGGAAUCCGUAACACGAUCCUACUGAAAGAUGACGUUUGCGCCGGUAUUGGGAAGCUUGCUGUUUAUCACGGGAAAGAGAGCAGCGGCAGUCAUGUUGCAGUAGUACAUGCUGACACGGUCGAGUUGAUGGUUUUGGACAAGAGGGGAAACGUCCAACAACAACACGUUCUGGACAUUAACGCACUGAUAGUUGAUAAACCCGAUGAUAUACAAGUCCGAAAGUUUGAAAAACAAACAUUGAAGAAGUCGUAGUUGAGACAGAAGACGGUCGCGUUCAAUGGAAUACUUUUCUUUGGCAGGUAUUGUGGUGUGACGGUCAAGAGCUCACACUCAUAAUUGCCCACACCAACCAUCUACUGCAAGUUAUCUUUGACUGCUCGACUAAAACGUGGAAAGCAGAUACAGACAAGGCGUUGGAUCAGCAAGGAUGGAUCACUUCUCUAGCGUCGAUCAACGGCUAUAUAUACACAGGUAAGAGGGACAAUUCAGGUGAACGAAGAAGAAUUUUACAAAUAACCCAAACCGUUUUUUUUUUUUU
Daphnia magna is the source of this 1659-nucleotide RNA transcript. RefSeq lists it as uncharacterized. The transcript is spliced from 4 exons. Lineage: Eukaryota; Metazoa; Arthropoda; Branchiopoda; Diplostraca; Daphniidae. The record is from RefSeq and is a predicted model, not a curated record.